This 493-nucleotide ribosomal RNA is filed under the name uncultured bacterium. Its description in RNAcentral is "partial 16S ribosomal RNA". It matches the Rfam family "Bacterial small subunit ribosomal RNA", at positions 28 to 503 of the family's 1533-position model. The record is from RNAcentral.
GAUGAACGCUGGCGGCGUGCCUAAUACAUGCAAGUCGAGCGAACAGACGAGGAGCUUGCUCCUCUGACGUUAGCGGCGGACGGGUGAGUAACACGUGGAUAACCUACCUAUAAGACUGGGAUAACUUCGGGAAACCGGAGCUAAUACCGGAUAAUAUAUUGAACCGCAUGGUUCAAUAGUGAAAGACGGUUUUGCUGUCACUUAUAGAUGGAUCCGCGCCGCAUUAGCUAGUUGGUAAGGUAACGGCUUACCAAGGCGACGAUGCGUAGCCGACCUGAGAGGGUGAGCGGACACUGGGAAAGGGAGACGGGGCACAGACUCACAGGGGGGGGAGCAGUAGGGAAUCCGCCGCAAUGGGCGAAAGCCAGACGGAGCAACGCCGCGAGAGGGGAGAAUGGCUUCGGAUCAAAAAACUGUGUUAUGAGGGAAGAAAAAAUGUGAAAAUAACGACGCACGUCGAGACGGUACAUAAAGAGAACGCCACGGCUAAACA